RNAcentral lists this ribosomal RNA (996 nucleotides) under uncultured organism. Its description in RNAcentral is "bacterial SSU rRNA". It matches the Rfam family "Bacterial small subunit ribosomal RNA", at positions 356 to 1376 of the family's 1533-position model. The record is from RNAcentral.
GGGGAAUAUUGCACAAUGGAGGAAACUCUGAUGCAGCGACGCCGCGUGAGGGAAGAAGGUCUUCGGAUUGUAAACCUCUGUUGUCAGGGACGAUGAUGACGGUACCUGACGAGGAAGCCACGGCUAACUACGUGCCAGCAGCCGCGGUAAAACGUAGGUGGCAAGCGUUGUCCGGAAUUACUGGGUGUAAAGGGAGCGCAGGCGGGAGAGCAAGUUGGGAGUGAAAUCUGUGGGCUCAACCCACAAAUUGCUUUCAAAACUGUUUUUCUUGAGUGGUGUAGAGGUAGGCGGAAUUCCCGGUGUAGCGGUGGAAUGCGUAGAUAUCGGGGGGAACACCAGUGGCGAAGGCGGCCUACUGGGCACUAACUGACGCUGAGGCUCGAAAGCAUGGGUAGCAAACAGGAUUAGAUACCCUGGUAGUCCAUGCCGUAAACGAUGAUUACUAGGUGUGGGAGGAUUGACCCCUUCCGUGCCGCAGUUAACACAAUAAGUAAUCCACCUGGGGAGUACGACCGCAAGGUUGAAACUCAAAGGAAUUGACGGGGGCCCGCACAAGCAGUGGAGUAUGUGGUUUAAUUCGAAGCAACGCGAAGAACCUUACCAGGUCUUGACAUCCCGUGCAUAGCUAAGAGAUUAGUGAAGUCCUUCGGGACACGGAGACAGGUGGUGCAUGGUUGUCGUCAGCUCGUGUCGUGAGAUGUUGGGUUAAGUCCCGCAACGAGCGCAACCCUUAUCGUUAGUUACUACGCAAGAGGACUCUAGCGAGACUGCCGUUGACAAAACGGAGGAAGGUGGGGAUGACGUCAAAUCAUCAUGCCCUUUAUGACCUGGGCUACACACGUACUACAAUGGCUAUUAACAGAGAGAAGCGAAGUCGCGAGGCAGAGCAAACCUCAGAAAAAUAGUCUCAGUUCGGAUCGCAGGCUGCAACCCGCCUGCGUGAAGCCGGAAUUGCUAGUAAUCGCGGAUCAGCAUGCCGCGGUGAAUACGUUCCCG